RNAcentral lists this ribosomal RNA (475 nucleotides) under uncultured bacterium. RNAcentral's name for it is "bacterial SSU rRNA". It matches the Rfam family "Bacterial small subunit ribosomal RNA", at positions 335 to 802 of the family's 1533-position model. The record is from RNAcentral.
ACUCCUACGGGAGGCAGCAGUGGGGAAUAUUGGACAAUGGGCGCAAGCCUGAUCCAGCCAUACCGCGUGGGUGAAGAAGGCCUUCGGGUUGUAAAGCCCUUUUGUUGGGAAAGAAAUCCAGCCGGCUAAUACCUGGUUGGGAUGACGGUACCCAAAGAAUAAGCACCGGCUAACUUCGUGCCAGCAGCCGCGGUAAUACGAAGGGUGCAAGCGUUACUCGGAAUUACUGGGCGUAAAGCGUGCGUAGGUGGUUAUUUAAGUCCGUUGUGAAAGCCCUGGGCUCAACCUGGGGAACUGCAGUGGAUACUGGAUGACUAGAAUGUGGUAGAGGGUAGCGGAAUUCCUGGUGUAGCAGUGAAAUGCGUAGAGAUCAGGAGGAACAUCCAUGGCGAAGGCAGCUACCUGGACCAACAUUGACACUGAGGCACGAAAGCGUGGGGAGCAAACAGGAUUAGAUACCCUGGUAGCGUCGUCU